UACGUAGGGGGGCAAGCGUUGUCCGGAAUUAUUGGGCGUAAAGCGCGCGCAGGCGGUUCUUUAAGUCUGGUGUCUAAGUGCGGGGCUCAACCCCGUGAUGCACUGGAAACUGGGGAACUUGAGUGUAGGAGAGGAAAGUGGAAUUCCACGUGUAGCGGUGAAAUGCGUAGAGAUGUGGAGGAACACCGAUGGCGAAGGCAGCCCCCCUGGGUCAAGAUUGACGCUCAUGCACGAAAGCGUGGGGAGCAAACAGG
Molecule: ribosomal RNA, 254 nt
Filed under: uncultured bacterium
Lineage: Bacteria
Description: partial 16S ribosomal RNA
Rfam family: Bacterial small subunit ribosomal RNA
Source: RNAcentral